Molecule: ribosomal RNA, 688 nt
Filed under: uncultured Cortinarius
Lineage: Eukaryota; Fungi; Basidiomycota; Agaricomycetes; Agaricales; Cortinariaceae
Description: eukaryotic LSU rRNA
Rfam family: 5.8S ribosomal RNA (bases 208-361)
Source: RNAcentral
UAACAAGGUUUCNGUAGGUGAACGUGNGGAAGGAUCAUUAUNGAAAUACACNUGAUGGGUUGUUGNUGGUUCUNUAGAGAGCAUGNGCACGCCUUGUCAUNUUUAUAUCUCCACCUGNGCACCUUUUGUAGNCCUUCCAGGUAUAUGUUGNUUUUUCAUUUACCCCAAUGUAUGUUAAUAGAAUGUUGUGCAUAUAAAAAUCUAUACAACUUUCAGCAACGGAUCUCUUGGCUCUCGCAUCGAUGAAGAACGCAGCGAAAUGCGAUAAGUAAUGUGAAUUGCAGAAUUCAGUGAAUCAUCGAAUCUUUGAACGCACCUUGCGCUCCUUGGUAUUCCGAGGAGCAUGCCUGUUUGAGUGUCAUUAAUAUAUAUCAAUCUUCUCAUUUAUGAGUGGUUUGGAUGUGGGGGUUUGCUGGCCUCUUAAAUGAGUUCAGCUCCUCUGAAAUGCAUUAGCAGAACAACCUUGUUCAUUGGCGUGAUAACUAUCUACGCUAUUGAAUGUGAGGGAUGGUUCAGCUUUCUAACAGUCCUUGGACAACUUAUCAUUUAUGUGACCUCAAAUCAGGUAGGACUACCCGCUGAACUUAAGCAUAUCAAUAAGCGGAGGAAAAGAAACUAACAAGGAUUCCCCUAGUAACUGCGAGUGAAGCGGGAAAAGCUCAAAUUUAAAAUCUGGCGGUCUUUGGCU